UUAACUUAUUAUAUUUUGACUCAGAAUAGCGCUAAAAUAUAGAAGGGUUUGGUACCUCCGGCGGGCGCCUUUGCAGGCUACAGCUCCGCCCUGGAGCUGCCCGCCGAAGCAUUUAUGAUUUAGGUAAGGUUCACAGUGGGUUUGGAGUUUUACAACUCAGUAAUGAUCCCUCCGCUGGUUCACCAACGGAGA
This 192-nucleotide unclassified non-coding RNA is filed under the name uncultured fungus. RNAcentral's name for it is "sequence contains ITS1". Lineage: Eukaryota; Fungi. The record is from RNAcentral.